GAUGAAGAACGCAGCGAAAUGCGAUAAGUAAUGUGAAUUGCAGAAUUCAGUGAAUCAUCGAAUCUUUGAACGCACAUUGCGCCCUUUGGUAUUCCGAAGGGCAUGCCUGUUCGAGCGUCAUUAUCACCCCUCAAGCCCUCGGCUUGGUGUUGGACGGUUUGGUGGAGGCCCCCUCGGGGGCUCCUGCCCCUCCCAAAGACAAUGACGGCGGCCUCGUUGGACCCCCGGUACACUGAGUUCUUCACGGGACACGUAUCGGACACAUGGGUUUACGGGACACGGUCUGCCUUCCCUCAGGGAGAAUCUUUCUAAGGUUGACCUCGGAUCAGGUAGGGAUACCCGCUGAACUUAAGCAUAUCAAUAAGCGGAGGA
This 372-nucleotide unclassified non-coding RNA is filed under the name soil metagenome. Its description in RNAcentral is "partial contains 5.8S ribosomal RNA, internal transcribed spacer 2, and large subunit ribosomal RNA". The stretch from base 1 to 120 matches the Rfam family "5.8S ribosomal RNA", at positions 35 to 154 of the family's 154-position model. The record is from RNAcentral.